This 370-nucleotide unclassified non-coding RNA is filed under the name Artemisia halophila. RNAcentral's name for it is "partial external transcribed spacer". The record is from RNAcentral. Lineage: Eukaryota; Viridiplantae; Streptophyta; Magnoliopsida; Asterales; Asteraceae.
UUUGGUUUGUUACGUGUGGUUGGCUGCGGCGUUUGCAACAACUUCCAUGCUUUCAGACCUCUUCAGUUGUGCGGCAAGGCUUGUAUCGCCUUGAGCGUAUUGUGGGUUUUCUGUGUUGGCUACCUAAUCAAUGGUAUCGGUUGGAUUGAUCAAUGUUUCAUUUCGUCUACCGUCGCAUUCGCGGCGUGAGAUGAACCUUGAUGCGGUCUCUUUGAUCCACCUCGUCGAAGCGCAUGCUUUGGCGUUGUGGCACAUUGAGCAUUGCUUGGUCUCUUGUAUACGGAACAUAUAGUGGGCAUGGAUCUAACGAUUCUCCUUUGCCCUCAUAUUAGCGUAACGCUUCUCUUACACGACUUGCWCCACGUUUUAG